CCUACGGGAGGCAGCAGUAGGGAAUUUUCCACAAUGGGCGAAAGCCUGAUGGAGCAACGCCGCGUGGGUGAAGAAGGUCUUCGGAUCGUAAAACCCUGUUGUUAGAGAAGAAAGUGCGUGAGAGUAACUGUUCACGUUUCGACGGUAUCUAACCAGAAAGCCACGGCUAACUACGUGCCAGCAGCCGCGGUAAUACGUAGGUGGCAAGCGUUGUCCGGAUUUACUGGGUGUAAAGGGCGUGCAGCCGGGAAGACAAGUCAGAUGUGAAAUCCCGCGGCUCAACCGCGGAACUGCAUUUGAAACUGUUUUUCUUGAGUACCGGAGAGGUCAUCGGAAUUCCUUGUGUAGCGGUGAAAUGCUUAGAUAUCACGAAGAACUCCGAUUGCGAAGGCAGCUUACUAAACUGCCACUGACAUUGAUGCUCGAAAGUGUGGGUAUCAAACAGGAUUAGAUACCCCAGUAGUC
RNAcentral lists this ribosomal RNA (465 nucleotides) under uncultured bacterium. RNAcentral's name for it is "partial 16S ribosomal RNA". It matches the Rfam family "Bacterial small subunit ribosomal RNA", at positions 338 to 795 of the family's 1533-position model. The record is from RNAcentral.